Molecule: ribosomal RNA, 459 nt
Filed under: uncultured bacterium
Lineage: Bacteria
Description: partial 16S ribosomal RNA
Rfam family: Bacterial small subunit ribosomal RNA
Source: RNAcentral
CCUACGGGAGGCAGCAGUGAGGAAUAUUGGUCAAUGGCCGGAAGGCUGAACCAGCCAAGCCGCGUGAAGGACGACGGUGCUAUGCAUUGUAAACUUCUUUUGUCAAGGGGCAAAAUCAGGCACGUGAGCCUGACCGAGGGUACUUUAAGAAAAAGGAUCGGCUAACUCCGUGCCCGCAGCCGCGGUCAUACGGGGGAUGCGAGCGUUAUCCGGAUUUAUUGGGUUUAAAGGGUGCGUAGGCGGACUGUUAAGUCAGCGGUAAAAGCCCGGGGCUCAACCCCGGCGAGCCGUUGAAACUGGCGGUCUUGAGAUGGCGAGAGGUAUGCGGAAUGCGUAGUGUAGCGGUGAAAUGCUUAGAUAUUGCGCAGAACUCCGAUUGCGAAGGCAGCAUACCGGCGGCGAUCUGACGCUGAGGCACGAAAGCGUGGGUAUCGAACAGGAUUAGAUACCCGUGUAGUC